Long non-coding RNA from Danio aesculapii, 280 nucleotides. RefSeq lists it as uncharacterized. Lineage: Eukaryota; Metazoa; Chordata; Actinopteri; Cypriniformes; Danionidae. The record is from RefSeq and is a predicted model, not a curated record. The transcript has 3 exons.
CGAGCUAGAGUUGUUUGUGCGCGCGCCCAAUAGCACCGAACCUUGAAGUUUCAAGUGUACGUUUUACACAGUUGAAUCUUCGCAAGUCCAAUGGCUGAAAGAAAGGAAGGGUCUUCCCUCUAGUGGUGUACUCCUGAAAAUACACACUGAAACGGCCUACAUUUUGCAAGGUCUGAAUGCAGUGGUCUUAGCAUCCUGGAUUGUUGGGCAUGUGUCACUGAGCUCACUGGAUUCCGUCUCUGUCUUUCCUGCACUGGGGAAGCCUGUCAUACACAUAAGA